RNAcentral lists this unclassified non-coding RNA (291 nucleotides) under Hevea brasiliensis (rubber tree). The record is from RNAcentral. Lineage: Eukaryota; Viridiplantae; Streptophyta; Magnoliopsida; Malpighiales; Euphorbiaceae.
UUUUUUUUUUUUUUUUAAUAAAACAAAAAAUGGCAAUAUGCUUUUGAUGUUUAUCAUCAUUUAUCAUUUCUGGAUUGUGCAGUUAGCUCCAAUUCAAACUAGGGCAUACAUUCUUUGUUAUCAUUAUAAGCAGCUGCUUCUUCUUCUCCUUUUUUGGCACUUGUAUAUAAAGCUUUGCUAACUUUGAGUUCUUAUGAUUAAAAUAUGUUUAAUUUCAGUUCAAAAAUUGUUAAUGAUUUUAACUAAUAUAUUAAGAUUUUUUUUUUUAACAAGAGCUCAAAUAUCAAUAAU